AUACGUAGGGAGCGAGCGUUGUCCGGAAUUACUGGGUGUAAAGGGAGCGUAGGCGGGAGUGCAAGUCAGAUGUGAAAUACAUGGGCUCAACCCAUGGGCUGCAUUUGAAACUGCAUUUCUUGAGUGAAGUAGAGGUAAGCGGAAUUCCUGGUGUAGCGGUGAAAUGCGUAGAUAUCAGGAGGAACACCGGUGGCGAAGGCGGCUUACUGGGCUUUUACUGACGCUGAGGCUCGAAAGCGUGGGGAGCAAACAGGAUUAGAUACCCUGGUAGUCCACGCUGUAAACGAUGAUUACUAGGUGUGGGGGGACUGACCCCUUCCGUGCCGCAGUUAACACAAUAAGUAAUCCACCUGGGGAGUACGGCCGCAAGGCUGAAACUCAAAUGAAUUGACGGGG
Molecule: ribosomal RNA, 396 nt
Filed under: uncultured bacterium
Lineage: Bacteria
Description: partial 16S ribosomal RNA
Rfam family: Bacterial small subunit ribosomal RNA
Source: RNAcentral